Molecule: long non-coding RNA, 6171 nt
Filed under: Daucus carota (carrot)
Lineage: Eukaryota; Viridiplantae; Streptophyta; Magnoliopsida; Apiales; Apiaceae
Description: long non-coding RNA (DCAR_LNC001883)
Source: RNAcentral
CACAUACAUGAUACAUCUGACUUGCUUAUGAAGGCCUAUUUAUAGACAUAUAGUCCCACACAUUAAUUAUCAGUGCAUAGUUACACACACAUAUCGUUUCAGUACUCGAAUUUUUACGUUGAAGCACAGUUCAUUAGUGGGGAAACAGCCGGAUUGGAUUAACAAGGAGAUGUUAAAUAGAUUGAGGAACGCGGUAAAGAAGGUGAAAUUCUUGUUGAAUCUGAGCCUAUAUAGAUUUCGACUUGCUUCGAUCCUAAGUAAUAAAGCUUCUUCAUCAAGAAGGCGAACGCUUAGUCUUAAUGACAGGCAGGGACUUAGAGCGUGUUAUAACAGGAAUUUGCAGGUGUCAAGACGUGACAUGAAGAGUUGCUGACAAGACAAGACGUGAACCAUGAAGGCAGAAGAGCUGUUGAAUCCCUGAAGAAUCGGUCAAGCCAGUGGAUAAGCAUUGACCUAAUUCCAUGCAAGUCUGGUGUACGUGAUAAGCCACAAACCCACGUGGAGUAAAAGUAGGACUUGUUUGUUAGCAUUUUAUCUAUAUAAACGAUGUAAAUAGACGAGUUAGGCAGUAGAGAUCACACACUCAAACUCAGCUACAAAAAUAUUUGUACUUUACAUCAGAAAGAUAAUGAAACAUUUCUGGCAGGGCCGAGCCCUCCCGCGGUUUUUACCUUACAAGGGUUUUCCGCGUCACCAUUUUCUUGUGUCUUUACUUUAUAUGCAAUUUAAUUCUUUAGCAUUUAACCCCGCAAAAUCCAGCACGAACAGAGCGUACACUGAUGAUAAUCUCAUGAUUGAGAACUCGGCAGUUAAUUACGUAAGAACAUAUGACGACGGCAAAUCAACACCAACAUGGCUCCACGAGCCAAGGAGACAACCCCACAAUGCAGCAGAUGAUGGAAACAAUCCGAAAACUACAAGCUGACAUGAACGCUCAGCAGGAGGCGUGGAGGUCCGAAAGAGAGACAUUACAAUCUCAUGCCCAAGCCUUACAGAAAGAGCUCACGACAGCUAGGUCAAAGUCCAAUCCCACCUCGAAGGGAACACUGGCAAGCGUGGCGAGACGUUUAAACAUGGACGAGGAGGAGGAAGAAGAGUAUGACGAAGAGAUUGAGGCAGAUAAUCCCAACCCAAACCAGGAGAACCCAGAGCCGAACAACGGAACUGAGAAUGAAAUCCCAACAGGUGGACAUGGCAAUGGAGAGAGACGUGAAGGGGGGAAUAACCGAAAGAAGAAAGGGCACAAGUCAUCGAAGUCACGCAGCCGCGCGACUGAAACGAUGCGGAAAGAACUACAAGACUUGAAAAAGAUGGUACAACGAAUUCCAGGAGUACCUAAACCCCUAGAGAAGGCAGCACCCUUAAGCUACGCAGAUUCUCCCUUCUGUGACAACAUAACCAUGGUGGAAACGCCAAAACGCUUCGCGGUGCCACCCAUGAAAGCCUACGACGGCACGACCGAUCCACAAGAACAUGUGGCACAAUAUAAACAGAGGAUGUUUACUAUACCCAUCACGAGAGAACUCCAGGAGCCAUGCAUGUGCAAGGGCUUUGGAUCAACACUCACAGGACCAGCGCUUCAGUGGUUUGUCGGGUUGCCCAACGGGAGCAUUAAGACGUUCGCAGAUCUGGUUGACGCCUUCAAUCUCCAAUUUGCUAGCAGUCGAGUAUUUGAGAAGACCACGAGCGACUUGUACAAGAUCGUGCAGAGGUAUAGAGAACCGCUCCGGGAGUAUUUAACGAGAUUCAACCAUGAAAAGGUCACGAUAACAAACUGUGACAUCCCCACGGCUAUAGAAGCCUUCCGAAGGGGUCUGGAACGGGAUUCACCACUUUACGACGAGCUGACGAAGUAUCCAUGUCAAACCAUGGAUGAUGUGCAGGCCAAAGCCAUGGCCCAAGUGAGAUUGGAGGAAGAUAAGCAAGUGGACGACGAUAAAUACUACCGUCCCAACAGGAAGAUCACGACAUCCAGGAUACGAGACAACAGGCCUUACGCUAGGACAACGAGAGAGGACCCAAGGAUCAGUUCGACGCAAGAGAGAACAGACUGGAGGAAGGACCCCAACCUGCCGCCGACGUACGACAGCUAUGGCUUUACACUGACGCCGUCAGCCCUGAUGAGAGAAUUCACAAAGAUGGGGGAUAUUGUGAAGUGGCCUCCCAAGACGAAUAAGCCAAAGUCAAACCCAGACUCGAAAUUAUGGUGUGAUUUUCAUGGGGACUACGGACACCGCACCUAUGAUUGUGUAGCAUUGAGGAAAGAGCUACAAAUUUUGAUUAAGAAAGGAUACCUGACCGAGUUCAUGACGGGAAGCAAGUCAGCGCCCACUAGAGAAGACUGGACAUCUCCAGGACACCUGCCUCGUCCACCACACCAAAAGGUGAUCAACUUCAUAGCCGGAGGAUCAGAAGUUUCUGGCACAACGUACUCUCAGGCAAAACGCGCAGCAAGAGAAACCAACAUAAGAGUGUUCAGGACGGAGAUUUCGGAUUUUAGGACGCCGGCUUUGACGUUCGACGAGUCUGACAGGGAACACGUCACGGAACCCCAACAUGACAGUCUUGUCAUCUCGCUCUCUGUAGGAAACUGUUUGAUAAGACGCAUUCUGGUUGAUAAUGGAAGUGCAGCGAACAUUAUGAUGCUGGGAACAUUGCAACAGAUGGGCUUGACAGAAGAUGACAUGGUCAGGAAGACAACCACGCUAGUUGGCUUUAGUGGAGAAACUAAGAGGACAGUCGGAGAGAUUACGCUGCCAACAUAUGCACAAUGGUUAAAUCUCUUAACGAAGUAUGUGGUUAUGGAUGGAGAUUCAACAUACAACAUCAUCUUGGGGAGACCAUGGAUUCAUGACCUGAAGACGGUCCCCUCCACCUAUCACCAAGUUAUCAAGUUCCCGACACCAUGGGGGAUUCAAGAUAUUCAGGGAGAUCAAAGCGUUACAAGAGACUGCUAUAAAACCAGUUUAAGACACGCGGUGCAACACGAAGUAAGGGAAGCAACAGAGGCCACACUAAUAGAGCCUGAAAUACUGGUGGAGGAAAACUUGACAGGACGCAGUAAGAGAGUCACGACGGAUGACGGCUCAGCAAACACCUUAGAGGCCAAUCAGGUAGAAUUCCCAGACGAGACUAGAGAUAAGCUGAAUGACAUGAUGAACUCGACAACAACACCAAAAUCACUGACAGAGCAAACAACAUUCACCCUUGACAAGAGAGCAUGCCACUACUCGACAAUGCCAUUUGGAUUGCAGAAUACUGGAGGAACUUGUCAAAGCUACCAAAGCUUUAUCAACAAAAUGUCUCAAGUACAGAUGAAUCCAACAAUGGAAGUCGGCAUCGAAAACAUGGAUCUGACAGACUUUGUGGCUGACUUGACUCCAAGCCAACUACGACAAGAAGAGCAUGAAGAGGCUACAUCAAAAGUAGAAGCUCGACCCCAGGUGAUAGACGCCAAUGAGACCUCGGACAAGAACGACACAGGACAGGGGCUUGCACUCAAGUCGCCACAGGGGGAUACAAUGGCUACAGUUCAUAAGUCCGCCAACAUGUGCAAAACACCUUGCCAUGACAAGUCAAUGCAUGGACGCGACAGCUGUUAGUCAAUGGAAUUCAGAUACCAGGAAUCUGAAAUGCAUUACAUUUGAACUAGUAUCACAUGUAAUGCGACUUAUCUUUCCUUUGUUUUCCUAGUAGAAGUAGCGUAAUAAGUCGAUUAGGAAAUUUAUUUGUGCCAUGCCACCAGGAUUAUGUUUCGUGAUGAUUGCUAUAUUUAGUUGAUUUCGAAUAACAGCAUGUUUUCCUUCGCAUGAUUUGAUGACUUGCUUUAAUUUACUCUAUGUAGAUCAUGUAUGCCUAUGAGUGAUUUACAAACCAUAGAUGUUUAGACAUAAUAAUUUUUACUCCCUAUGACAUGAUAUUGUUUGAAUAAGACUUAUAAUAUGCCACUUAAAAUAGGAGGGCUGAUCACCCAUCCUAUUACAAUUAUUCGACUACGUUAACGACACUAUUGCCGACACCACAAAUAAUUAAUGAUGCACUAGGAUAUUAUCCAACCACAAUUACGAUUACGAGCUGAGUUUCAAGAGGGAAAGGCCUUUUAGCCAGCCUACGAAUGCAUGCAUCAACGUUUGAAAAUAAACAGAUUUGUCGAAUACAACAACGAUUGAAAACUAUGCGUUUGUCGAAUACGUAUAUGACGUGCAUCAACAUUUGAAAAUUAUUAAAUUUGUCGACUACUUAUUUACCAAUUUAUAAUUUACUUUGAAUUUAGAUAUUGUAUACUACAAAUCAACAUUCGACAUAUCGAUGACCAACAUAUGUUAUAUGUUGUAGACAACAAACUUAUUGGGGCUUCCCAUGAACUAACAAUCAAGAUGUGCGACAUAUUCAUUCUACAAAAGCUUGAUACUUAAACGAACAUAACGACAAUUAACAACGUCAAAAUCACGUAAAUAAAUAUAUCAGAAGCUACUUGUCUAGGACUGGACGCCUUUGGUGAUCCCGUCUAUGGCAGAUUGACGAUCCUCAUCGCCAUCUUUCGGAUCACCCAUAACGUGAGCAUCAUCCUUCUGAACAACUUGCGAAGACUGUGCAUCCAUCAAGGAGAUUCUGAUUAAAAGCUUGACGAGCAGCCGAAGUGGUCGAAGGAGCCUGCAGGACGAAAUAAGAGUGGGUGAUGGCGUAUGACAUGGAACGACUAUACGAUCUGGGAACGUAUCGGAAAUGGAGUCAAUGAGAGAGAUUUUAUUGAUUAAAUUGAUUAAAUAAAUCAAUAAAAUCUGGGGCUAUUGUUAUAACAGGAAUUUGCAGGUGUCAAGACGUGACAUGAAGGGUUGCUGACAAGACAAGACGUGAACCAUGAAGGCAGAAGAGCUAUUGAAUNCAGCAUGUUUUCCUUCGCAUGAUUUGAUGACUUGCUUUAAUUUACUCUAUGUAGAUCAUGUAUGCCUAUGAGUGAUUUACAAACCAUAGAUGUUUAGACAUAAUAAUUUUUACUCCCUAUGACAUGAUAUUGUUUGAAUAAGACUUAUAAUAUGCCACUUAAAAUAGGAGGGCUGAUCACCCAUCCUAUUACAAUUAUUCGACUACGUUAACGACACUAUUGCCGACACCACAAAUAAUUAAUGAUGCACUAGGAUAUUAUCCAACCACAAUUACGAUUACGAGCUGAGUUUCAAGAGGGAAAGGCCUUUUAGCCAGCCUACGAAUGCAUGCAUCAACGUUUGAAAAUAAACAGAUUUGUCGAAUACAACAACGAUUGAAAACUAAGCGUUUGUCGAAUACGUAUAUGACGUGCAUCAACAUUUGAAAAUUAUUAAAUUUGUCGACUACUUAUUUACCAAUUUAUAAUUUACUUUGAAUUUAGAUAUUGUAUACUACAAAUCAACAUUCGACAUAUCGAUGACCAACAUAUGUUAUAUGUUGUAGACAACAAACUUAUUGGGGCUUCCCAUGAACUAACAAUCAAGAUGUGCGACAUAUUCAUUCUACAAAAGCUUGAUACUUAAACGAACAUAACGACAAUUAACAACGUCAAAAUCACGUAAAUAAAUAUAUCAGAAGCUACUUGUCUAGGACUGGACGCCUUUGGUGAUCCCGUCUAUGGCAGAUUGACGAUCCUCAUCGCCAUCUUUCGGAUCACCCAUAACGUGAGCAUCAUCCUUCUGAACAACUUGCGAAGACUGUGCAUCCAUCAAGGAGAUUCUGAUUAAAAGCUUGACGAGCAGCCGAAGUGGUCGAAGGAGCCUGCAGGACGAAAUAAGAGUGGGUGAUGGCGUAUGACAUGGAACGACUAUACGAUCUGGGAACGUAUCGGAAAUGGAGUCAAUGAGAGAGAUUUUAUUGAUUAAAUUGAUUAAAUAAAUCAAUAAAAUCUUGGGCUAUUGUUAUAACUGGAAUUUGCAGGUGUCAAGACGUGACAUGAAGAGUUGCUGACAAGACAAGACGUGAACCAUGAAGGCAGAAGAGCUGUUGAAUCCCUGAAGAAUCGGUCAAGCCAGUGGAUAAGCAUUGACCUAAUUCCAUGCAAGUCUGGUGUACGUGAUAAGCCACAAACCCACGUGGAGUAAAAGUAGGACUUGUUUGUUAGCAUUUUAUCUAUAUAAACGAUGUAAAUAGACGAGUUAGGCAGUAGAGAUCACACACUCAAACUCAGCUACAAAAAUAUUU